UCCUUUGUUUUUUCCUAUAAUCUUAACAUUUGACCAUCUAAUUAAUAAUUAAGUUGAUUAUAGAAUUUUAAAUAACAUGACUUGGGGUAAUAACAUGAUAUGGAACAUACAUCUAACUUUUUUAUUCUUUAUAAUGUUGAUAAUAAUGUUUAGGUUAGUAUUUUGAUUGGUCUUAAAGCAUUGGAUUGGUAGCUAAUUGCAAGAGGUAGUUGACAGAAUGGAACAUUUGGUUUCGGAGUAAGAAAAGCAAUAUCCAUCUGGAGAAAGAUGACAAUUUUCAAAUGCACAUGUAUGUUUGCUUUGCUAUGUAGCUUGGUAAAUGUGUAUUGCAUUUCUAUAGAUUAUCUCUUGUAUAAUAAUAUUUAUUCUCCUAUAAAUGUUUAGUAUAAUCGUCUCCCCGCUUUUGUUUAGGAUUCUUUCUCUGAAAUCUGUCUUGUUUUGUCGCUUGAUAUAGAAAAUAGCUUAGUGCGGCAAAAUCUAGAAUUUGUCUUUGGUAAGGACUUUCAACACUAGUUUUUAUGAAAUUGCAGUAUUUUUUUCUAGAGAUGUGACACUCAAAGUUCUUUGGGAUUUAAA
Long non-coding RNA from Humulus lupulus (European hop), 576 nucleotides. RefSeq lists it as uncharacterized. The record is from RefSeq and is a predicted model, not a curated record. The transcript has 2 exons. NCBI's taxonomy places the organism in Eukaryota, Viridiplantae, Streptophyta, Magnoliopsida, Rosales, Cannabaceae.